RNAcentral lists this transfer RNA (66 nucleotides) under Bombyx lemeepauli. Its description in RNAcentral is "tRNA-Thr". It matches the Rfam family "tRNA". From Rfam's summary of the family: Transfer RNA (tRNA) molecules are approximately 80 nucleotides in length. Their secondary structure includes four short double-helical elements and three loops (D, anti-codon, and T loops). Further hydrogen bonds mediate the characteristic L-shaped molecular structure. tRNAs have two regions of fundamental functional importance: the anti-codon, which is responsible for specific mRNA codon recognition, and the 3' end, to which the tRNAs corresponding amino acid is attached (by aminoacyl-tRNA synthetases). tRNAs cope with the degeneracy of the genetic code in two manners: having more than one tRNA (with a specific anti-codon) for a particular amino acid; and 'wobble' base-pairing, i.e. permitting non-standard base-pairing at the 3rd anti-codon position. The record is from RNAcentral. Lineage: Eukaryota; Metazoa; Arthropoda; Insecta; Lepidoptera; Bombycidae.
GUUUUAAUAGUUUAAAAUUAAAACAUUGGUCUUGUAUACCAAAAAUAAGAACUUUCUUUUAAAACU